Long non-coding RNA from Dreissena polymorpha, 1050 nucleotides. RefSeq lists it as uncharacterized. The transcript has 2 exons. Lineage: Eukaryota; Metazoa; Mollusca; Bivalvia; Myida; Dreissenidae. The record is from RefSeq and is a predicted model, not a curated record.
CGCAUGUUAAUCAUUUAGUUUGUGAUAUCACCAUCCGAAUCAGCUAUCCCGCAUUCUUUGUAUAAACAUUCACACUAAGCGGCAGUUGAAUCAAUUGUGCACAGAUAUUAUUAUUACGGGCUUGUUUGUCACAUAGUAAAAUUCGAUUGUUUAGAGGAAAAGGUAUUUAUCAUGAUGGCAAGACUUUCAGGGGGCUCCUACGACCUCGGUCCUACAUCUGAAAUCUCUCUAGAUGACUCAAAAAUCGAGAAUGAGAUCCUCGACAAGGAGAAGCGGCGACUGCACAUCCGGUGGGGAGCCGCUUUCAGCGUUGCCGUAGUAAUCAUUUUGGGUUUAAUAAUCGGAAUCGCCUUAAAGGGAAAAGGGAACGAUGCGUCUCCGUCUCAGCAAAAUGGUAAUCAAUCGACGAGUCUGCCGACUCCUCUGUCGACGCUACUGCCGACGCCUCUGUCGACGCCACUGCCGACGCAUCUGUCGACGCCUCUGUCGACGCCUCUGUCGACGCCUCUGUCGACGCCACUGCUGACUCCUCUGUCGACGUCACUGUCGACGCCUCUGUCGACGCCACUACCGAGUCCUCUGUCGACGUCGAUGACGACGCCUCUGUCGACGCCUCUGUCGACGCCACUGUCGACGCCUCUGUCGACGCCUCUGUCGACGAUUCUGCCGACUCCUCUGUCGACGCCACUGCCGACGCCUCUGUAGACGCCUCUGUCGACGCCACUGCCGACGCCUCUAACGACGCCACUGCCAACACAAGUUCCAACAACUUCGAUACCGAUCAUAAAGGAAGCGAUCUUUCCGCAGUCAUUAGGCAACCCGUCAAUCGGAAACUUAUCGAUGUUUUAAGUUAUAAUAUGUAUGGACUCAAACAUGUGUAUACGUUACAAUAGUCAUCCAUCAUAACAAAAAGAAAUGGGUCCUUGAGACUAUUUGAUACUCAUCAAUAAACUUGUAAAUAUCACGAAUACUCAUUUAAUUCCAUUUAUGUAUGUAUGCACUCAGCGUGCAGUUAUCACUCAUGAACGCAAAUAAACACAAUUAUGAAUA